UUCUUUAAAAAUAUAAUGAAAUGUGGUGUAGACGUGUAAAUAAUGUAUGAAAAUUAGGGUUUCUGAUUUUUUUUUUCAAAUGGGGCAACAGUAGGGAUGACAGAGAAAAUGUUGUUGGAGUGAGAGAGAUGAAAGAGAAAGAGUUGAGAGGAACGAGGUAGGUGAGUAAGGGUUUGGGGUUUUUUUUUUUUGUUUUGAGAAUGAAAAUUAUUUAAAUAUCCUUGACCUUAAAACUUAAAGUCCAUGAUAAAUGAGGGUAU
Molecule: long non-coding RNA, 260 nt
Filed under: Vigna radiata
Lineage: Eukaryota; Viridiplantae; Streptophyta; Magnoliopsida; Fabales; Fabaceae
Description: long non-coding RNA (VRAD_LNC001571)
Source: RNAcentral